CUAGUAUAGCACUAUACGGCGAAACUGCGAACGGCUCAUUAUAUAAGUUAUCGUUUAUUUGAUAGCACCUCUUUACUUGGGUAACCGUGGUAAUUCUAGAGCUAAUACAUGCUAAAAAUCCCGACUCCGGAAGGGAUGUGUUUUAUUAGAUUCAAAACCAAUGCCCCCUGGGCUCACUGGUGAUUCAUGAUAACCGCUCGAAUCGCACGGCCUUGCGCCGGCGAUGGUUCAUUCAAAUUUCUUCCCUAUCAACUUUCGAUGUUUGGGUAGUGGCCAAACAUGGUAGCAACGGGUAACGGAGGGUUAGGGCUCGACCCCGGAGAAGGAGCCUGAGAAACGGCUACUACAUCCAAGGAAGGCAGCAGGCGCGCAAAUUACCCAAUCCCGACACGGGGAGGUAGUGACAAUAAAUACCGAUAUAGGGCUCUUUUGGGUCUUAUAAUUGGAAUGAGUACAAUUUAAAUCCCUUAACGAGGAACAAUUAGGAGGGCAAGUCUGGUGCCAGCAGCCGCGGUAAUUCCAGCUCUAAUAGCGUAUAUUAAAGUUGUUGUGGUUAAAAAGCUCGUAGUUGAACCUUGGGCCUGGCUGGCCGGUCCGCCUCACCGCGUGCACUGGUCCGGCCGGGCCUUUCCCUCCGCGGAACCCUCAUGCCCUUCACUGGGCGUGGCGGGGAAACGGGACUUUUACUUUGAAAAAAUUAGAGUGCUCCAGGCAGGCCUAUGCUCGAAUACAUUAGCAUGGAAUAAUGAAAUAGGACGCGCGGUUCUAUUUUGUUGGUUUCUAGGACCGCCGUAAUGAUUGAUAGGGACAGUCGGGGGCGUCAGUAUUCAACUCGUCAGAGGUGAAAUUCUUGGACCGGUUGAAGACUAACUACUGCGAAAGCAUUCGCCAAGGAUGUUUUCAUUAAUCAGGAACGAAAGCUAGGGGAUCGAAGACGAUCAGAUACCGUCGUAGUCUUAGCCAUAAACUAUGCCGACUAGGGAUCGGGCGAUGUUAUUUCUUUGACUCGCUCGGCACCUUCCGAGAAAUCAAAGUGCUUGGGCU
RNAcentral lists this ribosomal RNA (1044 nucleotides) under Ophiocordyceps camponoti-renggeri. Its description in RNAcentral is "SSU rRNA". It matches the Rfam family "Eukaryotic small subunit ribosomal RNA", at positions 60 to 1113 of the family's 1831-position model. Lineage: Eukaryota; Fungi; Ascomycota; Sordariomycetes; Hypocreales; Ophiocordycipitaceae. The record is from RNAcentral.